RNAcentral lists this transfer RNA (67 nucleotides) under Cordylochernes scorpioides. Its description in RNAcentral is "tRNA-Thr". Lineage: Eukaryota; Metazoa; Arthropoda; Arachnida; Pseudoscorpiones; Chernetidae. The record is from RNAcentral.
GUCCAGGGAUGGGAAUCGAACCCACAAUGUUCCGCUUACCGGGCAGAUGCCACUAGGCUACCCUGGA